ACAAGUUCAACGAUGUGGUGUGGCAUGUGAGCUGGUCCAUCACAGCCAACAUCCUGGCUGUCUCUGGUGGAGACAAUAAGCAGGCCCUCAAGAGACCCGCAACAGAAAGGAAAGCCACCGACUGGAGAGAACCUGCUUCCUGAGCCCCACCAAGUUCCAAAAAGGAGAAUGGGGCUUCGUCCUCACCCUCAAGGAGUUGCCAAACUGGGCUUGGUUAUUAUUCACACUU
Molecule: long non-coding RNA, 229 nt
Filed under: Homo sapiens (human)
Lineage: Eukaryota; Metazoa; Chordata; Mammalia; Primates; Hominidae
Description: non-protein coding lnc-GHRL-2:1
Source: RNAcentral